Molecule: long non-coding RNA, 278 nt
Organism: Arabidopsis thaliana (thale cress)
Lineage: Eukaryota; Viridiplantae; Streptophyta; Magnoliopsida; Brassicales; Brassicaceae
Product: other RNA
Exons: 1
Source: RefSeq
GAGAACAUGCCCACUCACUAAAACCCUAGCUUCUUUUUGCAAGUUUGAAUGGUGUCGUUUUUUGGUGAUUGCACUGUAGCAAAUCAAAGGUAAUAGAUGGGUUCAUCCACGCUGGAAAGGAAGGCAGUUUUGGGGGUUUUAAACCCUCAGAAAGAGGGGCGAAGGAGAUGAAAAUAAGUAUCCAUAAUAAGACGGCUUCAUGCACCGUUAAUGACUCCAUCAGACAUGGUGCAAAUGACAGUCCAAGAGUAAAGAUUCCUGCCAUCAACAAAGUCCGG